UGUUUGUAAACAGUAUUUAUUGAUUUUAUGUCACUAUUAUUAUUGAAAGAAGUGUAUUUACGUCAGACAUUUUCGUGUGUUAUAAGAUAGCUUUGGGGUAUAGGCACAAAUUAAUCUAAUUUGUUGGUUAUUAAAGAACAUUACUCUGUCGAAUUUGUGUCUGCGCACGAUCGAUAAGUUUCUGCGCAAUUGUUUUGAAACGAGAAGGGGUCCAAUUAAGAUAACACAUGUUAAAUUCUUUUUGUAUAACAGAAACAACUCACAAGAAACAUGGAGGCAACAUCUUUAGAUCACAAAGUAUGAUGGAACCUAUUGGGUCCAGUUCUUUAAAGAAAGCUCAAAAGAAAAGUGGACUUUAAUGCCAAAAGUGUUUAGUGUAUUACAGUCAGAGUUUGAUAAAUUGUUACAGCCACCAGACUUGAUAUUCGAAAGUGCAUCCAGAUUUUUUUACAAAUUUCCUGACUUUUUGGUUUGAAGUUGUUGAACAUACAGAAUUAAUUUGGCUUUAAAAUCAUGAAUUUAUAAAUAGUAAUCAUGUUAACUAAGUAUGUUACGUUUUAGGAAAACUGAUCUUUUUUAUAAAUCCACAAGACUAUCAUCAGAUUUUUUACAUGGAGAAUCAAUUCAACAACUUAUUUUUAUGGGUAAUUAUCAUAUCAUUACUACAUUGGUUACUUAGGAUCAUUGUAAUUUAAUUAAAGUCCCUUGCAAUAGUAAUAUUCCAUUUAAAGUACUGAUAUGCUUCAAUGUGCUUUAUCUCAUGGUUACAUUUAAAUAGAAUAUUCCUGUAGUAAGAUUGUUACUAUAUAUAUUUUUUUAAUUGAAUUGAGACCAUGGAUCAGACAUGUCAGAUGGAUACACAAAAUUUAUUUCCAGUUUUUUGCCUAUCAUUACUUUUACAACUACAGGUUAAUAUUAUUUGUUGUCUCUUUCACCGUGAAGAUCUGAUUUAACCAGUAUUUUUUUAAAUAAAGGUGCUUUUUAUGUUAUUUUUAUAAAUAUAUAUCAAGUAUAUUGUAAAAUUCUUCAAAAAGGGUUUUUAGACCCAUUUUUUUGUGUUUAUUUGUUUGUUGGGUUCAACAUUUCACUCAUAACAUGCUGACAAAUUGGGUUCAGCAUUUCACUCAAAACAAGCUGACAAAUUGGGUGCAGCACAGCUGAAACAAGUACUUGUAUUCUUCAUAUUUAAUAAUGUAUCCAUAAUCCAGUGCUCUUUUCGAAAAUCUUUUUGAUUAUAAUGUGUAUAGUUGUAAAUAUAGUUGUUGAUUUCAUUGAAUCUUAAACAUGUUAACAUUUGAAAAAGAUGGACAAAUUGAUUAUUUAGGGUUGAAUAGAAACCAUACAUCAAUUUCAGUUCUUUUCUAUUAUUACUUUUACAACUACGGGUUAAUAUUAUUUGUUGUCUCUUUCACAGUGAAGAUCUCAUUUAACCAGUAUUUUUUUUUAAAUAAAGGUGCUUAUUAUGUUAUUUUUAUAAAUAUAUAUAUGAUGUUUAAUGUUAAAUUUUUAACAAGGGUUUUUAGACCCAUUUUUUGUGUUAAUUUGUUUGUUGGGUUCAACAUUUUACUCAUAACAUGCUGACAAAUUGGGUUCAGCAUUUCACUCAAAACAAGCUGACAAAUUGGGUGCAGCACAGCUGAAACAAGUACUUGUAUUCUUCAUAUUUAAUAAUGUAUCCAUAAUCCAGUGCUCUUUUCGAAAAUCUUUUUGAUUAUAAUGUGUAUAGUUGUAAAUAUAGUUGGUUGACAGAUUGAAUGUGUUUGAAACAUGAUUUUUUUCAUUUAAUCUUAACCAUGUUAACAUUUGAAAAAGAUGGACAAAUUGAUUAUUUAAAAUUGAAUUGAACCCAUACAUCAAUUUCAGUUCUUUUCUAUUAUUACUUUUACAACUACGGGUUAAUAUUAUUUGUUGUCUCUUUCACAGUGAAGAUCUCAUUUAACCAGUAUUUUUUUUUAAUAAAGGUGCUUAUUAUGUUAUUUUUAUAAAUAUAUAUUGUUAAAUACUUCAACAAGGGUUUUUUACCCAUUUUUUUAUGUUUAUUUGUUUGUUGCUUCAAAUGUUGGGUUCAGCAUUUCAUUCAUAACAUUCUGAAAAGUUUCAUUUUUACCAUCCUUAAUGGUGUUUAAAGACUUUUAUCUUUCUCUAUAACCAAAAUAUAUGAAAUUUUGGUAAAUUCAUGGUGUUAUUGACUUUGUUUUUAUAGUAUUCACCACUUUAGUUGGAAGGGAAAACAUUAAAAUUCUAAGGUUUAAUGGCCUAAAACAUUUUUACAACGCAAUGACAUUACACUUUUUUGAUAAUUUGUGGUACUCUAUUUACCAUUUCAUGCAUUUUAAGAAAAUCGAUAGAGUAGAGAGAUUUUAUGAUUUUAAGAUAAAUUGUUCUUUUUAUGCAAAAAUUAACAUACUUUGGACAUGUUGAAAGAACUCAAUCAGUUUUUUUUUUAAUUUGAAAAAGAUAAAUGCAUUAUUUUUUUCAAUUAUCUGUUCAACAAACAAUGGGAAGCAAAAUUUUACCACAAUCUGUUCCAUUGCCUGUUUACUGUAACUUGACCUUAAUAUAUUUUGUUUUUAAUUGUUCAUGUUCCUAAUGUAAAGGUUUUAAUUUCAUUAACAAUGUUGAUAUACAUGAUCAUGACAAUAUAGUGCUUAUUUGUUACCUAAAUAUAAUGCCUUAUCUUGUUGAUAUAGUGCUUAUUAUGCCCCACCUACGAUAGUAAAGGGUCAUUAUGUUUUCUGGUCUUUGCGUCUGUCCGUCUAUUAGUUUGUCCGUCUGUCCCACUUCAGGCUUAAGUUUUUGGUCAAGGUAGUUUGUGAUGAAGCUGAAGUCCAAUCAACCUAAAACUUAGUACAUAUGAUCCUUAUAUGAUCUUUCUAAUUUUAAAGACAAAUUAAAAAUUUUUACCCCAAUUUCACGAUAACACUGAACAUUGAAAAUGAAAGUGCGAGUUUCAGGUUAAACUUUUUGGUCAAGGUAGUUUUUGAUGAAGUUGAAGUCCAAUCAACUUGAAACUUAGUACACAAGUUCCCUAUGAUAUGAUCUUUCUAAUUUUAAUGCCUAUCUUUAUUUUUUACCCAUUUUCAUUGAACAUGGAAACUGAUAGUGCGAGAGGGGCAUCCAUGUACUUUGGACACAUUCUUGUUUUGUUACCUAAAUCUGAUGCAUGGGUAUAAACCUAACCCUGACACAAACACUUUGGGCUAAACAUUUAUUGCUUUACUGAUACUCAUCUUUUUAUAUAACAGCAAAACAGCAAAUGUGCCACUUGAGAAGAUUCAUCAUAAUUCUAUUUUAAUGCAAAAAACAUUCCUGAUUUAUUAUGUUUUUUAACUCUCCAUUAUCAUGAUUAUGAUCUCCUUGAAUUAUUUUUUUUUAAACUCCAAAUAUAUCAUAUAAUCUGGUUUUGCAGUAUUAUUUACAUGGUUAAUAUUAAUUUGAAUUUAAUUAUGUGAAAAAAUAGAUUUAGCAGUGUGUAUCAAAUGGUAAAUCAAGAUUAAUAAAUAUUCAAUAGCAAUUCCAAUAAAUGCAAAGUGACAUUCCAAAACAAAUAUCUUGUAUGUCAAUGUCUUCGUUUGCUCUUUUGAUGAUGUCUGUUUUUUUUAAAUGAAAUUUUUAAUAAUCAGUGUCAGAUCUUACAUGGCAAAUUAUUAUUUUAUUUUUUUACUGACAUCCAUAAAGACAUCUAUUAUUGUCUAUAGCAAACAAAUUUGAGUGUAAUUAUAUACUUUCAGUGUGAACUGAAAUAUAUAAACUAUUAGAUUAUUAUUUGAAUUUUAUUCAGAAUCAUGUCAACAUGUACAUAUGUUAUGCAAAAUAAAUGUGUUUUAAUUGUUA
This is a long non-coding RNA of Mytilus trossulus (common blue mussel), 3834 nucleotides long. RefSeq lists it as uncharacterized. Lineage: Eukaryota; Metazoa; Mollusca; Bivalvia; Mytilida; Mytilidae. The transcript has 3 exons. The record is from RefSeq and is a predicted model, not a curated record.